UAUACAGCAACAUAUGAAAAUUCUCAUUCUAAUAUGUCACUUUGCAUUUUUAGGUUAUGGUCCAAGUCUUUAUCUUUUUUCCUUCUCUAAUUGAAACACAGCUGAUACUCCUUCAAUCUCUGGGUGAGAAGCACUGCCACUUCUAAGUAAGGAAAGCGAACAAAAAAAAAGUAGAAGAUCCCUGUUGCGAAGCUGUGAUCUUGUGGCCGUUUUACACAGUCUUCCUCCCCGUUUUCUGAAGACGCGAGGGAAAUUAAAACAAACUUCUUGGAGCUUUUUCUUAUAUAAAGGUCUGACUUGAUUCCUGAUAGCAAGAAAUUUGGAGUGCUGUCAUGGGUGUUUUAUCUACACCGGGAUACCUCGAUAGGCAUUGUGGACUGAUUUAGUGUCAAAGGGCUGGAAAUGGUGACUGUCAUGUUACCUGAGGAACCACACUGAUGUGCAGAAACACAGUGUGUGGAAACGGG
Molecule: long non-coding RNA, 467 nt
Filed under: Dromaius novaehollandiae (emu)
Lineage: Eukaryota; Metazoa; Chordata; Aves; Casuariiformes; Dromaiidae
Description: lncRNA (ENSDNVG00000014764.1)
Source: RNAcentral